UUACAGCCAUAUCAUGUUGAAACAUUAGUUCUCAUAUGAUCACCAAAGUUAAGCAACAUCAAGACUGGUCAGUACCUAGAUGGAUGAUCGCUUGAGAAUACUAGGUGCUGUAA
Acanthosepion pharaonis is the source of this 113-nucleotide non-coding RNA. NCBI's taxonomy places the organism in Eukaryota, Metazoa, Mollusca, Cephalopoda, Sepiida, Sepiidae. The record is from the annotation of a GenBank genome assembly.